This 495-nucleotide ribosomal RNA is filed under the name uncultured bacterium. RNAcentral describes it as "partial 16S ribosomal RNA". It matches the Rfam family "Bacterial small subunit ribosomal RNA", at positions 28 to 507 of the family's 1533-position model. The record is from RNAcentral.
GACGAACGCUGGCGGCGUGCCUAAUACAUGCAAGUAGAACGCUGAAGGAGGAGCUUGCUCUUCUGGAUGAGUUGCGAACGGGUGAGUAACGCGUAGGUAACCUGCCUGGUAGCGGGGGAUAACUAUUGGAAACGAUAGCUAAUACCGCAUAAGAGUAGAUGUUGCAUGACAUUUACUUAAAAGGUGCAAUUGCAUCACUACCAGAUGGACCUGCGUUGUAUUAGCUAGUUGGUGGGGUAACGGCUUACCAAGGCGACGAUACAUAGCCGACCUGAGAGGGUGAUCGGCCACCCUGGGACUGGGACACGGCCCAGACUCCUACGGGAGGCAGCAGUAGGGAAUCUUCGGCAAUGGACGGAAGUCUGACCGAGCAACGCCGCGUGAGUGAAGAAGGUUUUCGGAUCGUAAAGCUCUGUUGUAAGAGAAGAACGAGUGUGAGAGUGGAAAGUUCACACUGUGACGGUAUCUUACCAGAAAGGGACGGCUAACUACGUG